Molecule: long non-coding RNA, 697 nt
Organism: Danaus plexippus (monarch butterfly)
Lineage: Eukaryota; Metazoa; Arthropoda; Insecta; Lepidoptera; Nymphalidae
Exons: 3
Source: RefSeq, a predicted model, not a curated record
GUAUUUGACGUAGUGCCAGGAACUGCCUAACACGUGUAAUAGAUAUUUAAUUUUCAAUUAAAAAUAGAUAUCCUUCAGACAUCGUGUUUUUGUCUGCUACCGAUAAGAAUUUCCGGAUAACGUACUGACCGCUAUGAUUGUCACCUCCCCCCUCCCUUGCCCUAUUGUGCUCACGCGAAAAAUGUACUUUUUUGAUAAUAGAAGCAACAACCCAGCUAAAAGUAAAAACUUGCAUACUCGCAGGGUAGAGAUUAUCAGUAAAUCUAUUGAUACACAACUCUAAUAAAUUGAGGAUCCAUGUGUACUAUAUGGACAUUUGCUCAUAAGGAGUGGAGAGUGGGAGGUAUUAUUGAACAGUAUGUCGUAGAUAUAAUGUAAUUGUGAGUAAUACAGCAUAGGUGGGUAAGGGGUCACUAAAGAAUUUUACGAAAAUCGGAUAUAUUAGCGAAGAUUAAAAUAUAUAACCCGAACACAAGAUUUUGGAUAUAGCCGCCAGCAUGAUUCACUAAAGGGGAGAAAACAGUAUGAAACCCCGUAAUAUUGGGUGAAAAAUUUUGUAAUCUUCAUAUUGAACACGGAAAGAUACAUUUUUAUAGAAGUUUGCAAUGUCCAUAAAUGAUGUCGGUUAAAUGUUAUUACCAAAAGUUUUAAUUCUUUCACUACAGGUAAUCUGCACCUUGUCUUAUAUUCAUAUUAA